Molecule: long non-coding RNA, 1233 nt
Organism: Parus major (Great Tit)
Lineage: Eukaryota; Metazoa; Chordata; Aves; Passeriformes; Paridae
Source: Ensembl
AUGGCCCAGCGCAACGCGAGCGCUGUUCCCUGUGGAGGGGAAACGGCUCCUGGGGCUCCUUCAGGAGCGAGGCCUGCGCCCGGCAAGCGCCGUCUGCAUAGAGGCCCACGGCUCUCCGCGGCUGGCCCCGGCUGCAGGGCUUCUCCAGUCCGUGUGCCAGGACGGGAGGCGGGUGGGCCCUGGGAGGGUGACCGGCAUUUUCCCGGAAGGGCAGGGGCCCCUGGAUCCUGUAUUAGGUACUGUCCAGGGCCGCCCGUCCCCAAGGAGAGAGGAACUUUGCCCUGCGGGCCUCAGGGCGGAAGGUUCCCGGGUGUGGCCGCUACGGCCGCUGUGGGGCCCCUCCCGCCCCCCGGGCGGCCCCAGCCCGUCCGUCCGCCCGCCCGGCCUCGCCCCCCCCGCAGGCCCCGCCCCCCCGCAGGCCCCCGCCGCCGCCGGGGCUGCCCUCCCGAGCGCCUGCCGGGGCGCGGCGUAGCCGUCCGGUUCCUGGCUCGGGGCCGCGGCGCCGCCCGCCGCUGCCGAGCUCUGGGCCGCGGGCGCCGGCGCCUCCCGCGGGGCGCGUGGUGGUGUGGCGCGGCGGGCGGGGCAGGCGGCGGGCGGGGCGGCCCCGGCGCGCCGGGGUCCUGCGCGGCGGCGGCGGCGGGCGGGCGGAUCGGUGUCUCCUUCACUUCGCCCUCCAGUGCCCGCGGCUGCAGCAGCGCGGCCUCCGCACGGCCCCACCCGGCAGCCACCGGCCCCGGCCUCGCUCCGACGCCCGCCCGCGACACGCAGGUGCCGGUCUCGGCCGCGACCGGCCCCGCGGGGCAAGGGGGGGCGGGCGGGGCUCGCCCGGCGGCAAACGGGUCUGGGGCCGCGUGGGCCGGGGGUGGCGGGGCCGCGGGCGAGUCCCAGCGCUCCCGGGUUCGGCGGGGCGGGCGGGGGGCUCUCCGCGCGCGCUGCCCUCGCGGCCCCGCGGCCGGGCUCGGGUGCGCGAGGCGCCGAGGACGGGAGGGUCAGGCCGGGAUGCCCAAGAUGGCCGCGCCGAGCGGGUCGGUUCACCUUGCGGCGGGGCGGGCGGCGCGCCUGGCGCUGGGCCUGGGGCCACCGCUCGGCCCGGCCCGGCCCUGCCCUGCCCUUCCCGGGCUGCGGCCGCAUCCCCUCUCUCCCUUCGCUGCCCUUCCACUCUGGGAGGCGCUGCUUUACUACCCCCGCUAUCGCUUCCUGAGCCCGAAGUCCAUUUCCAGACCUUGUCCUUAA